RNAcentral lists this ribosomal RNA (449 nucleotides) under uncultured bacterium. RNAcentral's name for it is "partial 16S ribosomal RNA". It matches the Rfam family "Bacterial small subunit ribosomal RNA", at positions 28 to 523 of the family's 1533-position model. The record is from RNAcentral.
GACGAACGCUGGCGGCAUGCCUAACACAUGCAAGUCGAACGAAGCCUUCGGGCUUAGUGGCGCACGGGUGCGUAACGCGUGGGAAUCUGCCCUUUGGUUCGGAAUAACAGUUGGAAACGACUGCUAAUACCGGAUGAUGACGAAAGUCCAAAGAUUUAUCGCCAGAGGAUGAGCCCGCGUAGGAUUAGCUAGUUGGUGUGGUAAAGGCGCACCAAGGCGACGAUCCUUAGCUGGCCUGAGAGGAUGAUCAGCCACACUGGGACUGAGACACGGCCCAGACUCCUACGGGAGGCAGCAGUGGGGAAUAUUGGACAAUGGGCGAAAGCCUGAUCCAGCAAGGCCGCGUGAGUGAUGAGGGCCCUAGGGUUGUAAAGCUCUUUUACCCGGGAUGAUAAUGACAGUACCGGGAGAAUAAGCCCCGGCUAACUCCGUGCCAGCAGCCGCCGUAA